GUGCACCUUCAGAAAUUAAGUUUGAGUAAAAAAGUCUUCCUAAGUGCUCCGAUGAUAACCACUGAAACUAAGGAGUCAAAUAUUUAGGGGAAAAAAAUAUACCUUAGUUUUUGGCAUUCUGCACAAUGUAUUUAUUAUUGCAUUUCUUUUUUUCAAGACUGAUGUAAACUUUAAAUCUCAGAAAAUUAGUUUGUAGACAUUUUCCUCUUCUGUUGUCUCCACAUGGCACAUUGUCUCAACAUUUUUUCCAUACAGAGGUCACCAUCUUUUAAUGUCAGUCUAAUGAAAGGACACAGAGAAAUGGCUGCUGCUUUUUUGGUUCACUCCUUAUAUGUUCUCAGGAGCUAUGAAGGUUGAAGCUAUGGAGGUUGAUAUUCGUCAAGAAUAAAAAUUAAACUCAUGGAAUUAAAGUCUGAGUAAUAUGCUAGUUUUCAUGGCAGUUCAUAAAGGACUGUCUCUCAUGGGAGGGACCCCAUGCUGGAGCAGGGAAAGAGUGUGAGGAAUUCUCCCUGGAGGAGGAAGGAGCAGCAGAGACAACCUGUGAUGGACUGACCACAGCCCCUAUUUCCUGUCCUACCUAGCCACUGGGGGAGAGGAGAAAGAGGACUUGGGAUUAAAGACCAGGAAAAAGGGGUGUGUAGGUGGAAGGUGUUUUACUAUUUCUCUUUAUUUCUCAUUAUCCUACUCUGAUUUAUUUGGUAAUAAAUUAAACUAAUUUCCCCAAGUCAA
Molecule: long non-coding RNA, 729 nt
Organism: Corvus hawaiiensis (hawaiian crow)
Lineage: Eukaryota; Metazoa; Chordata; Aves; Passeriformes; Corvidae
Exons: 2
Source: RefSeq, a predicted model, not a curated record